UACCAUCUCUCCCAGGCUAAAAAUCAGAUGCACUUCUGCUGAAGUCUCUAGCUGGAGGCAGGACUUACACGGACGAGUUGCAACGGGAAGGAGCUCCUAUCAGGCCACUUCAACCAGCCCUGCUAUCAGCAGUAGAGGCAUGAACUCCAAAGAAUCCCUCUACCUCAGUGCCAUCAGCAAGGAGCACAGCAGACCUCCAUCCCAGCUGCUUUCUACUGCCAAAGCCAAAGAUGUUCAGAGCUGUGAUGCCCCAACUGACUGGAGAUCAAAGCCAAAGGCAGCUCCAAAUGGACCAAGACUCAACCGGCGGAUGCCUCCUGCCUCCCCCAUAGUGUUUGACUGCCUCAGAGUGCAUCCUCUCACUCUAUCCCCAGUCCUCACCAGUCCCAAGGAGUGCUGUGCCUAAACCAACCUCCCCUGAAAUGCUAUGCUCUUACUUUGAGUUCCUCAGAUGAUCGUUCUUUUAGCUUUGUUUGCACCUACUGUAUAUAAGAUUUCCAGAUAAUGCCAAGGAUAUCCCGUUGACUUCUGGAAAAAACGAAAGUGACCAUUGUUUGACAGCACAAAAUGCUUCAGCCUCCAUAUCAGACAACUCUUGUUGCUCCAUCAAUGUUGCCCCGAAACCCAGAAGGGAACAGCAGCAGGGUACCUGUGGUUCCUCUGCCCCUCUCCAGCCAUUCAGUCCUGUUGUCUUAUGUUUGGGAGAGACCUGUGGUGUGCAGGGUUCUAAACCUGACUGUUUC
Molecule: long non-coding RNA, 743 nt
Organism: Sinocyclocheilus grahami
Lineage: Eukaryota; Metazoa; Chordata; Actinopteri; Cypriniformes; Cyprinidae
Exons: 6
Source: RefSeq, a predicted model, not a curated record